GAGGGGUUAGUUAAACUAUAACCCUGCCUUGUCAAGGCAGAAUCACAAACUAAACCCUUGUACCCCUCU
RNAcentral lists this transfer RNA (69 nucleotides) under Trichobatrachus robustus. RNAcentral describes it as "tRNA-Asp". Lineage: Eukaryota; Metazoa; Chordata; Amphibia; Anura; Arthroleptidae. The record is from RNAcentral.